This 357-nucleotide RNase P RNA is filed under the name marine eukaryotic metagenome. Its description in RNAcentral is "Bacterial RNase P class A". It matches the Rfam family "Bacterial RNase P class A". From Rfam's summary of the family: Ribonuclease P (RNase P) is a ubiquitous endoribonuclease, found in archaea, bacteria and eukarya as well as chloroplasts and mitochondria. The record is from RNAcentral.
AGUUAGCGAGACAAUCGCUAUUUGAACAGCUUAGCUGGUCACGUAGAGGAAAGUCCGGGCUCCACAGGGUAAGAGUGCCAGGUAACACCUGGGAAGCGUGAGCUUACGGAAAGUGCAGCAGAGAAUAGACCGCCGAUGAUUCAAUUGAACACAGGCAAGGGUGAAAAGGUGCGGUAAGAGCGCACCGCGUUAUUGGUAACAAUAAUGGCAUGGUAAACCCCACUCGGAGCAAGACCAAAUAGGUCUCCACAUGGUGCGACCCGCACGAGGGGACGGGUAGGUUGCUUGAGGCAAGCGGUGACGUUUGUCCCAGAUGAAUGAUUGUCCUCGACAGAACCCGGCUUAUCAGUUAACUCU